RNAcentral lists this long non-coding RNA (263 nucleotides) under Oryctolagus cuniculus (rabbit). Its description in RNAcentral is "lncRNA (ENSOCUG00000033857.1)". Lineage: Eukaryota; Metazoa; Chordata; Mammalia; Lagomorpha; Leporidae. The record is from RNAcentral.
AGAUCUAGACUGAGCGCCCAGCUUCAAAUGGCCCAGCUCUGGCCAGGUACUAGGAGCAUUUGAGAAGUACACAUACAGAUCGCAUUCCCCCAUCCCCACCCUCUGUGUUUCUGUCUCUCAAAACUUUUAAAGUAACAUUGAAUUCUUUAUUUUUCUAUUAUUGUAUUUUGAGGUUUUUAUGCAUUCUGAACACAGGUUUUUUUUUUUUUUUUUAAAUUUUUAUUUUAAAAUAUGUUAUCUCAUAAACUAAAUAAAAAAAAGAA